RNAcentral lists this ribosomal RNA (468 nucleotides) under uncultured bacterium. Its description in RNAcentral is "partial 16S ribosomal RNA". It matches the Rfam family "Bacterial small subunit ribosomal RNA", at positions 28 to 507 of the family's 1533-position model. The record is from RNAcentral.
GACGAACGCUGGCGGCGUGCUUAACACAUGCAAGUCGAACGGAAAGGCCCUGCUUUUGUGGGGUGCUCGAGUGGCGAACGGGUGAGUAACACGUGAGUAACCUGCCCUUGACUUUGGGAUAACUUCAGGAAACUGGGGCUAAUACCGGAUAGGAGCUCCUGCUGCAUGGUGGGGGUUUGAAAGUUUCGGCGGUUGGGGAUGGACUCGCGGCUUAUCAGCUUGUUGGUGGGGUAGUGGCUUACCAAGGCUUUGACGGGUAGCCGGCCUGAGAGGGUGACCGGCCACAUUGGGACUGAGAUACGGCCCAGACUCCUACGGGAGGCAGCAGUGGGGAAUAUUGCACAAUGGGCGGAAGCCUGAUGCAGCAACGCCGCGUGCGGGAUGACGGCCUUCGGGUUGUAAACCGCUUUCGCCUGUGACGAAGCGUGAGUGACGGUAAUGGGUAAAGAAGCACCGGCUAACUACGUG